Sus scrofa (pig) is the source of this 6984-nucleotide RNA transcript. RefSeq lists it as uncharacterized. The record is from RefSeq and is a predicted model, not a curated record. Lineage: Eukaryota; Metazoa; Chordata; Mammalia; Artiodactyla; Suidae.
UGCAGCCCUAAAAGGACAAAAAAAAAAAAAAAAUGGACCUGGACUUCUCCAGGUGGCACAGCUGGUGAAUGACAGCUAGGCCCAGCGUGCCUUUGCGCUGUGCAUGUCCAGUGGCUCAGAUGAGAGGAGAGAAGAGGGCAAGGGAGAGGAAUGCAGUGGGGGCCCCAGGGCCUCCUCCACAGGGAGGGGGCUGGACUCUGUGCCCAGGGUGCUGAGGAGCCAUUGAUGGUUUCUGAGCUGGAGAGAAAUGACCCAGGCUGGGUCCUCAGGUGCCUGGGGCUUGUCUGGGCCAUCUGUCUCCACCUCCUCCACCUGCCACCCUCUGCGUCCAUCCACCCCCACCGCUUCUCAACCACACUGAGAAACCAUGUGUGACGGAGGAGAAUGUAAAAAUAUAUAUGCAACCGAAAAACAACAACGAGCUGACAGAACACAGCUAUAAAUACCCUGACGGGUUUGGAAACAUGCCUCCGAUCCUGCUUCCUGCUGCCUGAGCUCGGGGGGAGCACGGUGUUUGACAGGUGGGGUGGGAACUCAAGGAAGGGGACGGGAAAGGGGACAGCCAUGUGUGGACCUUCUUUGUGCCAAGCGCUUUAUAAGCGCACGUCUCUGAGUCUUAAAACCCAGAGAAUCAGCACUGUCACCCCUGUUCACAGAUUAGAAAACCGAAGCACAGAAAGGUAGGUCAUCUGGCCAAAGUCACACAGCAGUGGACUUUGGGAGGCAGCAGAGCUGGGAUUCCAGUAAGUCCUUCGAAGGCCCAACUCUCCAAAGAAGAGACGGCGGCUGCAGGCUCCACCUCCCUCCAUCCCUGCCCAGGGCCAGAGAAAGCUUCAGGCUUCCAGGAACUCCCCUGCUUACACACCUUCCAUGGCUCCCCAGUACCCUCCAGAUAAAGACCAAAUUUAAGGCCAUCAAGGCCCCUGUGAUCCAGCUCCGCCCAUUCCCAGAGCCCACCUCCUGCCACUGCCCUGGGUUUCUGAGCCACAGCCAGGCCACGCUGACCUGCCCUCAGGGUCUCUUCAGGGCCGGUGCUCUAGCCUCUGCACCUACUGUUCCCUGUAGUUUCAUCUACCUGCAGCAGGGCCUCAGCUCAAGUGCCACCUCCUCCUGACCCCCUCCCCUGCUCAGAUCCCCCUGGGCUUUCCCUGCAGGGCCUCGCGCUCCACUGUAAUCACGUGGGUCAUUAUGGGAGACUUGCCACAGCUGAUGAGGGCAGGGUCAAAUGGGCCACAGCUGGUGAGGGCAGGGCCAGGACCCGGUGCAGGCGGUGUGGCCCCCACGGACUGAGCAGCCAGGAGGGCCUGUGGCAGGGGAAGUAGGUUCCUGUCGUGUAGAUGCCCCUCUCUGAUGAGCAGGAGGUCUUGGGGUGAUGACAACGCAGUGAGAACUGGCCUUGAGCUGCUGGAGAGUCUGGAGGUGGUGGCAGGAAAUGGGACCAGAAGGGGCGCCAGCCUCAGGCUCUGGGAGGAAAAGGAAAGCAGAUGAAGGAGGAAGACCAUGUAAGGGAGUCCUGGGGCCGCCGCAAGGGGUACUGGGGACCAGCUGAGAAGGACGGGAAGUGAGUCUGCCCCGGCCCUGGACCCUCACCGUGUCCCGGAUCAGCUUUCCACAAGCCGUCUGAGCCUGUUUGCACCUCUCGCCAGGGUGAGCACAGAGGCCACUCCAAGAUCCCUCUCUGUGGCGGACACUGGGCUGGGCGCUGGCAAGACAGACCUAAAAGUGACAGAGGUGCUCGAGUCAAGGUGAAUGUAUAUGAUUCAUCGUGCAAACGGGGACAUGUGUGAAGGGAAGUCUACUAAUAAUUAUGGUGGGAACGCAGCGUAAACCCUGGCAAACCAAGGUGCAAGGUCACUCCCGUUAAAUAGAAAAGUGAGGGGAGACUUAAUCGAUGGAGGACAGGCAGAGGGGAGUCUUGGCAGGGGUAAUGGCAGGUACGGGGAUGUGGCAAGCUUGGGGACAAGUGGAGAGUUUAUGGUGGCAAGGAUGUGGUGUGUGCUGCGGAGAAGGAGCAGAAGAGAGGCCGGGGUCUCCAGGCAGUAAGAGGUGGGCAGUUUGGAACAACUAGAACAGGAUGGCAGACACCUUGCAGCUGCCAGCCCUGGACCCAUGGCAGGAUCACUAAGUGACCAUCACACUCCUUCCCACUGAUUCAGCCUCACGGCCCUCCACACAGUGUUGGGGGGCGGGGAGGGGGCCAGUCACUGCCAGCGGAAAAGCUGGGCCCCAGAUGAAACCUAUUUGCCAUUGGAGGCUAAGCGGUGGAUACAAGUGUGGACUUUGCUGGAGAUGAGGCUGGAGUUCAAACUGAAAGAGACCUAGAAUGUGGGGGAAGGAGCUAGAAUGUUGUCUAGGUAUUAGGGAGCCAUCAGAGGGUGUUGGGGGGAGGGAUAUAACUAGACUAACAUUUCAGGAGUUGGUCUAAAUGAUCACUGCCAUUGGUGGAAGGACCUGGAAUGACAGGGUGAGAAUGGAUGGGGCUCUGACCGGAUGUGGAGCAGAGAUGUGGAGCAGAGACGUGGGGCUGAAGGCCGAGAAGAGGUUUUUCAUGGGGCAGGGAAAGAAGAGGCAGGCAGAUAGGCCUCUGGAGUCCUGGCCCCAGUGGGAAGACUGUUGGCAGGGAGGUGUAACAGCACAGCAGGAGGUCCUGAUAGGAAUCUUUGUUCCAGAGGCCGCCCUGAGACUCUGUGCCCCCAGGGGGAAGGAGGCCCAACAGGUCCGGUGGCUUUUACUGUGGAGAGCAUCAGAGCCUGGAGAAAUUCACCUUUAGAGGGAAACAAACCAUCAUGAAAUGCACCCCCCUCCCCCCCACUCAGGGCCCCUCCGCAGAGGAGAGGAGGUGGCCCUGGUACUGCUUAUAAUGUCUGGGGGUAACUGCAAGAGGGGGGCACUGACACGUCAUCCCUGAUUGGAUGUCUGCUUAGCCAUGGGCUGCCACCUGCCCCAGGGUCACCAGAAAGGGACAUGGGGGCACAGUGCCAGGGUAAGGGCCUUUGGUUUCUGGCUCCAGGGAGGCACAGUGGUUGAGUGGAGCCACCAGCUGUGGCCAGUUGAAGGAAGUGGAGGCUGCAGGCUCCCUGGAGUCUUCUCAGCCUAGGGCCAGGGUCUCAGCCCUGGGGGUGGGUGUGGGGAGCUCAGAGCACAGGGUGGCUUUGUCUGAGGAGGGGCCACCAGUGUCUGGGAGAGGGGCCAGGAAUUGAGUCCCUGGUCAGUGGAACCCUGGGGGCCUCCACCUGCUACCACCAGAUCUACAGGCGUUGAGCUAAUUCCACCACAGCCGUGACUCUCCAAAGGGGAACCACAGCCUGGCCAGGUGCCUCUAGAAGGACGACCAUUCCCUCUGUCUUCUCCCUUAACCCCAGCCCUGGGGUGAGCCCAGAGGAAGGGCGUGGAUGCAUGUGUGACAGAGACGACACAGGCACAUACGUGCACAUUAACACACUCAGGCCCCCAGAGCUCCCAGCUUGGCUCACCUUGUGGUGGAAGAAGAAAGUUUGGAAUCAAAUCUGAGCCUGAACGGUUUUUUUGGUUUUGGUUUUUUUGGCUGCUCGCAUGGCAUGUGGAAGUGCUCGGAAUAAGGAUUGAACCCACGUUGUAGCCGUGACCCAAGCCCCUACAGUGACAAUGCAGGAUCCUUAACCCACUGUACCACAAGAGAACGCCUGAGCCUAAAGUUUUACAAGGCCCAGGUCUUGGGAGUUCCUAUUGUGGCACAGAGGGUUAAGAAUCUGACUGCAGCGUCUGGAGUUGAGGCAUAACAUGGGUUUGAUCUCUGGUUUGGCGCAGUGGGUUAAAGGAUCUGGCGAGGCCACAGCUAUGGCACAGGUCACAGCUCUGGCUCAGAUUCAGCCCCUGGCUCAGAACGUCCUUAUGCAGAGGUGUGGCCAUUAAAAAAGUAAACUCCCAGAGCUUAACCAGAAUGAGACUGCUUUUAUAUCCAAAAGUGUCUAAACGUUAGAAACUGGACCAAAUACUGUCAAAGGUGCAGAACUCCCCUCUGGUGGAGGGGCUCACAGAGCCCAACUGGUAGCUGUUCUUCGAAAAAUAAAGCUGUGCCCAAAUUGUAACCCAGUGAAUGACCCGAAGGUCUUUAAUGAGCCGUUUCCAAGGGGAACACAGAAAGGGGAUGGGAUUUGAAGGGGAAAGAUGAUCAGAGACCGGGAUGGAACGAAGCUUUAUUGAAUGAAUUAGGCAGAGGGGUCCGGGAAGGUCGGACAACUGUCUGUCCACCCCCUGCAAGGUCUGGGAGCGCUGUCCCUAUGGGAAUCGUGGGGUCACUCUGUCAGUGGUUGGGCUUCUGCCCUCAACCCAAUGCUGAGCCCCCUCUAGGUUGGUUUCAGACUUGAGGAGACCUCUCCCUCCAAGGCCGGGCCUGAAUCUCAGGAUCCCUUAACCUUAAGUGGGCCCCGUGGGCCAGGCCUGAAACCAGGGAGGUGACCUUCCAGAGAGGAAGGGGCCAGCAGCCAGAGCUUGGUCCUCGCUUAGCCUGUCACCCCUGGGGCCAGGGCGGGAAGACAGCAGAGGGAAGAGGAGGAGGAGAGCUUUGGCCAAGGGUGGGGUCGGAUUCCCCCAGGUCCGGCUCCCUUGUGAGAGGUGGCGGGUAAGGAAAGAACGUGUGAACGAGGGAGUCUUGCCCCCAGUGCCUAGCGCUGCAGAGAGGGGUUCGGUUCGUGUCGGGGUGUCUGAGGGUGAGGGGUCUGGGGUGAUCCAGGGGGAUGGGUGUGAGGUCGGGGGCCCUCAGGAGAAGGACAUCUGGAUGUCAUCAGAGUCGAGCAGACGUGCAGCCUUGGAGCCAAAGCAGAGAGCACGAAGAGGCGGCGAGGAGAAGGGAGCCUCGGAGGAGCCUGUAUUUGGAGGCGGGAGGAAAAGCUGCAGGAACUGGCCCAAGAGCUCCGCAGCCGCCAGAUCCUGGCCGGCCUCCGGGCCCUGCUGGCAGCUGACAAGAUGCAUCUCUCAACUGCUCUGGAAAACCUAAUGGCCUUGAGUCUGCCCAGGUGGGCAGCGGGACAAAUGUACCUCCCCGCUUCCUGCACCCCCUCCUCGGGCUCUGGCGGCUGCUCAGGGCCGCCUCUGAGACCGCCCCACCCUGGCCAGCGGCACCCUCCUCCCUCUUGGGGCUCAGCGUUCCAGACUUUCUCCUCAUCAGAGUUUACCAGGCAGGUCUGAUUCUCUCUCCCGAGUCCCCCGCCAAGUUCUGCCUGGCUCCCUGCCCCUCUCUCUCCUCUUCUUAGAGCAGGAGCCAGUUGAGGCCUGCGAUGAGCCUCGAGCCAGGCCCGGGGACCCUUCCCACCCAAGGCAACGAAGCCAGCCCACUGCCGCUCAGAAGUCCCUCUGCUUGAGGAGUUCCUGUUGUGGUGCAGUGGAAAUGAACCCGACUAGUAUCCAUGAGGACGCAGGUUCGAUCCCUGGCCUCACUCAGUGUGUCAGGCAGAACAAUUCAACCUUUCCAGGCCCAAUCCCAAAUCCUGCCCAACUUUGCACAGUCCAGCCUGGGAAGGCGCAGACACAGAAAGGACCCGUCUUUGAACAGAACUGGCCUUCCUUCCAGGGCAGCCAGCUGACAUUGACCAUGGGCUCCCUCACAGAUCAAAGUGCUAUUUUCAGAACAACGGGGAAAGAAUGCCAAAUACACCCCUCCCAAAAAAAAAACCAUGGAAUUAAGGGAAUUUCUGUUUUACAAGCCACCUGAGUCCUGACUAAGUAAGCUCAGGGCCAGCACCUUGUCCCAGAAGAACAGCUCUGAUAGGGGCUUUCGCCUGUGACAGCAACUUCUGGAGAACCGGUUUAGCCUGGGCUAUCUCCAGUCUCUGUUGACAUCACACCACAUAUCAGAGGGGACCUGGCCCUGACUCUGGCUCCAACAUGUCCUUCCAUGGCGACAUCUGAGUUUUGUCAAGACCCUACUACAUGGAAUCGUAGGAGGUGGGGGAGUUCCAGGGGGAGAAGCAGGUAAGUAAGGAGGGCAUCGUGGAAGAGGUGGCCCUGCUCAGAGGACGGACAGCAAGAACCCCUCAAGGCUGUAAUUAAGAAGACACAUAAUUGCAAGUGUUGGCAAGGAUCUGGAGAACUUGGCGCCCUCAUACCCUGCUGGUGGGAAUAUAAAAUGGCACAGAAAACAGUCUGGCACAUCCUCAAAAAGUUAAGGAGUUCCCGUCAUGGCGUAGGGGUUAACAAAUCCGACUAGGAACCACGAGGUUGCGGGUUCAAUCCCUGGCCUCGCUCAGUGGGUUAAGGAUCCAGCGUUGCUGUGAGCUGUGGUGUGGGUCGCAGACGUGGCUCGGAUCCUCUGUUGCUGUGGCUCUGGCGUAGGCCGGUGGCUACAGCUCCGAUGAGAACCCUAGCCUGGGAAUCUCCAUAUGCCAUGGGUGCGGCCCUAGAAAAGGCAAAAAGACAAAAAAAAUGCAAAAAAAAAAAAAAGUUGAACGUAGAGCUACCGUAUGACGCAGUUAUUCCACCCCUAGCUGUGUAUCCAAGAGAAAUGAAAACACAUGUUCACACAAAAACUUGUACAUGAAUCUUCACAGUAGUGUUUUUCAUAAUUGCCAAAAAAUAGAAACAGCCUAAAUGUCCACCAGCGGAUGAAUGGAUAAAUAAAAUGAGGUGUGUCCCAACAAUGGACUAUUGUUCCGCCAUAAGAGGAAUAUCUGCUACAACGUGAUUGAAACUGGAAAGUCUUUUUAUGUGAAAGAGUCCAGUCAGUCACUGGAGUUCCCCGGUGGUUCAGCGGGUUAAAGAUCCUGCAUUGUGGAGUUCCUGUCAAGGUUCAGUGGUUAAUGAACACAAGUAGCAUCCAUGCGGAUGCUGGUUUGAUCCUUGGCCUCGAUCAGUGGGUUAAGGAUCCGGCGUUGCCGUGAGCUGUAGUGUAGGUCGAAGACGCAACUUGGAUCCUGUGCUGCUGUGGCUGUGGCUGUGGUAUAGGCCAGUGGCUACAGCUCAGAUUGGACCCUAGCCUGGGAAACCUCCAUAUGCUGAGGAAGUGGCCCU